UUUACAUUCCCAACUCUCUUCUAACCCUAUAACCCGUCGCCGGCCACCACCACCACCACUCCAGCCGCCGGCCACCAUCGUCGCCGGAAGCACCACCACCACCACUCCUUUCUCUCUAUUUCUCUCUCCCCUCCCUCCUGUACUCUCUCUAUCCCUCCUCCUCCUUCUUGCUCAACAGACGGCGAUGCCGGAGGAAGGGAGCAAGCGAGCCAUGCUUCUUCUCCACCGCCUUCAUCAAUACAUGGAGAUUGUUGAGGCUCAGAGACUGGAAUUGGUUUUCCGGCGCCUAGGGUUCCGCUGCUUAGCCAGACGACGACGACGCUGAUUUGGGUUGUGGCGUCUGCUACUUCUGGACCUCUGGUGAUCCUAUCAGGCUUAAUUGCAGUUGUUCAUUGAUUCAGGGGGUGUUUGGGUUAGCUUAUUUUGGAGCAACUUAUGACUUAUUAACUUAUAAAAGUUAAUAAGUUGUUUUUUAAGUGUUUGGGUUAGCUUAUUUUAGAGGAUUUUGUGUGUGUGAGAAGUCAUUUUUGAGAAGUCAGAAUUCACUUAUGACUUAUAUAACUUAAUAAGUCAUUUUGAGAAGGAAUGCCAAACACCCACUCAAUCGUCUGCAAAUAUGCUUGAAUUGUUGGAUUGGAAAGAGAAAAUAUCAGUUAUUAAUGUCAAGAUCAGAUAAGGUGUGUGAACCUGGAGCUGCUGGUGUAAAAAUUAACUCACCGACAUAGUGGUUGUAAUAGGCGGCUAAGGAGUGACUUAAGUGUCUCUACCACCGCCGGCAAUGGUUCGUGUAGGAGAUUUUGGAUUUUUGAAGUUAACUGUGGGGUAAUAUUUUCAGAGAUGUGGCGGUGAAGAUUGUUGUUAGUAUAGAGAGAGAGAGAGAGGGGGAGUUACAGAGGUUGGGCGCCUGGGCGGCAGACGAGGUGGUGGUGGCGGCAGAUGAGGUGGUGGAAAGAUGUGGUGGUUAGAAAAUUGGAGAAGAUAAGAUCUAUAUGUAUUUUUUUUUGUUUUGUUUUUUUUUUAAACAUUUAAAUAAAAGCAUGAAUUUACCAUAAUACCCUUAAGUGAAUAAAUUUAACAAAAAAAUUUAACUAGGUUAGUGCUAAAGGACGUACACUGUAACGAGUUUUGCAAAUAAAGGAUUGUGACUGUAAUUAUUGAAGUUAAAGGCUAUCCGUUGCAAUCUGGUACAAACAUAAAGGACGAAAAAUGUAAUUUAUCCUUUAUGUAAAAUAUUAGUACAUGCAUAUGCAUCCUAAGCCAUAUCGGGGUCCCCACACCUCUAAACCUUGUCUAUAAAUGUUUAACGUUUUAUUUUACUUUUGAUUUUAAUCUUUCUUUUUCAUAGUGAUAUAAUUAAAAUUUGAAUAGAUCAGUUUUUAAAAAGAUCAUUUAGUAUAUUGUUAACAAUUAUAAUAAUAAUAAUAACUAGGGCUUGUAAACGAAUCGAACGUUUAGUGAACAAUUUGUGAAGCGUUCGGCGAAAAGUUCAUUUGUGUUCAUUCGUUUAUUGAAUAAACAAACACGAAUAAGAAAUCUCGUUUGAUAAGUUAAACAAAGGAACAUGAACAUGGGUUGCAUUCGUUUGUUUAUAUUCGUAAACAUUCGGUAAUGUUUUUCAUUUAUGCUCGUUCAUUAUAGGAUUUUUUUAUCUUAUAUGUUUAUUUUAUUAUCCUUAAUUUUUUAAAAUUUGAAACCAUAGUUUAACUAUAUGCCUCUGCUAACAUCCGUCAUUUAAUCAUUCCAAUUUCAGUUUGUGUUAAAACUUGAAAAACUUCUUAAGUUUUGUGUUAAUUAUGCUAAAUAUCUAUUUAUUUUUGGGUGAUUAUUUGGAAUCUCUCUAAUGAAAAAUUCAUAUUGUACUUUUAAAUGAAUACAUAAUGUUGGUUUGUGUUCAUGAACAUUUGUUUGGGUUUAUUUGUGUUCGUCUAUGUUCGGCAAGUGUUCAUAAACAAUUCACGAACAUGUUCAUUUCCUUAAUGAACGAACAAGGACACGAAAUCUCGCUCGGUAAGCGUUUGUGAACCAUUCAUAAACAUGUUCAUUCGUUAAUAUGAACGAACACAAAUAAGAUCUUGUUCGUGUUCGAUUCGUUUACAACCCUAGUAAUAACAAUAAGAAUACUAGUGUCAUUGAGAUAAAUAUUAAAUCAUAAAAGUUCAUACUAAUAAAAAGCUUGAGAAAAAAAAAUAUAUGAAUAAUUAAGUUGGUAGUGUAUUAUAUAUACCUAAAAAAAACAUUAGGUAUACAAUAUUUCUCAUUGAUUGGUUGAGAAAGGCAAUCACAUCGCUAUCAUAUACAUGUAUGCAAGCAAAUAAUUAAAAAAACAAGUAGUCUGAUGGUUAGUACUAUGGAUUUCAACUUGGCAUACUAAGACCCGAUUUUGACGAUUUGUAGUUACUGAAAGUCCAAAGAAUAAAAAAGUUAGGUUUACCGUUUUCUUAUUGAUUGGUUGAGAAAGACGAUCACACCACUAUCAUAUACAUGUAUGCAAGCAAAUAAUUAAAAGAGACAAACAAGUAGUCUGAUGGUUAGUACUAUGGAUUUCAACUUAGCAUACUAAGACCCGAUUUUGACGAUUUGUAGUUACUGAAAGUCCAAAGAAUAAAAAAGUUAGGUCUACCGUUUUAUCAUUGAUUGGUUGAGAAAGGCGAUCACACCGCUAUCAUAUAGAUGUAUGAAAGCA
Molecule: long non-coding RNA, 2683 nt
Filed under: Helianthus annuus (common sunflower)
Lineage: Eukaryota; Viridiplantae; Streptophyta; Magnoliopsida; Asterales; Asteraceae
Description: hypothetical non coding rna
Source: RNAcentral